AAUCCAUAGGUUAAUGAGGCGAACCGGGGGAACUGAAACAUCUAAGUACCCCGAGGAAAAGAAAUCAACCGAGAUUCCCCCAGUAGCGGCGAGCGAACGGGGAGGAGCCCAGAGCCUGAAUCAGCAUGUGUGUUAGUGGAAGCGUCUGGAAAGGCGCGCGAUACAGGGUGACAGCCCCGUACACAAAAGCGCAUGUGCUGUGAGCUCGAUGAGUAGGGCGGGACACGUGGUAUCCUGUCUGAAUAUGGGGGGACCAUCCUCCAAGGCUAAAUACUCCUGACUGACCGAUAGUGAACCAGUACCGUGAGGGAAAGGCGAAAAGAACCCCGGCGAGGGGAGUGAAAAAGAACCUGAAACCGUGUACGUACAAGCAGUGGGAGCCCCACCACCAAAGCAUUUGCUGUACCGCGUUGACGGAGCGAAGCGACGUCAAACCGAUAAAACAGCAGUGUAAAGUGAGCCGCAGGGCGCUUUGCGCGACAGCGCAAAGGCAGGCGGUUUCGCGUAGCGAAAGCGAAUGCUUUGGGGUGGGGUGACUGCGUACCUUUUGUAUAAUGGGUCAGCGACUUAUAUUCUGUAGCAAGGUUAACCGAAUAGGGGAGCCGGAGGGAAACCGAGUCUUAAUUGGGCGUUAAGUUGCAGGGUAUAGACCCGAAACCCGGUGAUCUAGCCAUGGGCAGGUUGAAGGUUGGGUAACACUAACUGGAGGACCGAACCGACUAAUGUUGAAAAAUUAGCGGAUGACCUGUGGCUGGGGGUGAAAGGCCAAUCAAACCGGGAGAUAGCUGGUUCUCCCCGAAAGCUAUUUAGGUAGCGCCUCGUGAAUUCAUCUCCGGGGGUAGAGCACUGUUUCGGCUAGGGGGCCAUCCCGGCUUACCAACCCGAUGCAAACUGCGAAUACCGGAGAAUGUUAUCACGGGAGACACACGGCGGGUGCUAACGUCCGUCGUGAAGAGGGAAACAACCCAGACCGCCAGCUAAGGUCCCAAAGUCAUGGUUAAGUGGGAAACGAUGUGGGAAGGCCCAGACAGCCAGGAUGUUGGCUUAGAAGCAGCCAUCAUUUAAAGAAAGCGUAAUAGCUCACUGGUCGAGUCGGCCUGCGCGGAAGAUGUAACGGGGCUAAACCAUGCACCGAAGCUGCGGCAGCGACGCUUAUGCGUUGUUGGGUAGGGGAGCGUUCUGUAAGCCUGCGAAGGUGGCCUGUGAGGGUUGCUGGAGGUAUCAGAAGUGCGAAUGCUGACAUAAGUAACGAUAAAGCGGGUGAAAAGCCCGCUCGCCGGAAGACCAAGGGUUCCUGUCCAACGUUAAUCGGGGCAGGGUGAGUCGACCCCUAAGGCGAGGCCGAAAGGCGUAGUCGAUGGGAAACGGGUUAAUAUUCCCGUACUUGGUGUUACUGCGAAGGGGGGACGGAGAAGGCUAUGUUGGCCGGGCGACGGUUGUCCCGGUUUAAGCGUGUAGGCUGGUUUUCCAGGCAAAUCCGGAAAAUCAAGGCUGAGGCGUGAUGACGAGGCACUACGGUGCUGAAGCAACAAAUGCCCUGCUUCCAGGAAAAGCCUCUAAGCAUCAGGUAACAUCAAAUCGUACCCCAAACCGACACAGGUGGUCAGGUAGAGAAUACCAAGGCGCUUGAGAGAACUCGGGUGAAGGAACUAGGCAAAAUGGUGCCGUAACUUCGGGAGAAGGCACGCUGACACGUAGGUGAAGUGAUUUACUCACGGAGCUGAAGUCAGUCGAAGAUACCAGCUGGCUGCAACUGUUUAUUAAAAACACAGCACUGUGCAAACACGAAAGUGGACGUAUACGGUGUGACGCCUGCCCGGUGCCGGAAGGUUAAUUGAUGGGGUCAGCGCAAGCGAAGCUCCUGAUCGAAGCCCCGGUAAACGGCGGCCGUAACUAUAACGGUCCUAAGGUAGCGAAAUUCCUUGUCGGGUAAGUUCCGACCUGCACGAAUGGCGUAAUGAUGGCCAGGCUGUCUCCACCCGAGACUCAGUGAAAUUGAACUCGCUGUGAAGAUGCAGUGUACCCGCGGCAAGACGGAAAGACCCCGUGAACCUUUACUAUAGCUUGACACUGAACAUUGAGCCUUGAUGUGUAGGAUAGGUGGGAGGCUUUGAAGUGUGGACGCCAGUCUGCAUGGAGCCGACCUUGAAAUACCACCCUUUAAUGUUUGAUGUUCUAACGUGGACCCGUUACCCGGGUUGCGGACAGUGUCUGGUGGGUAGUUUGACUGGGGCGGUCUCCUCCUAAAGAGUAACGGAGGAGCACGAAGGUUGGCUAAUCCUGGUCGGACAUCAGGAGGUUAGUGCAAUGGCAUAAGCCAGCUUGACUGCGAGCGUGACGGCGCGAGCAGGUGCGAAAGCAGGUCAUAGUGAUCCGGUGGUUCUGAAUGGAAGGGCCAUCGCUCAACGGAUAAAAGGUACUCCGGGGAUAACAGGCUGAUACCGCCCAAGAGUUCAUAUCGACGGCGGUGUUUGGCACCUCGAUGUCGGCUCAUCACAUCCUGGGGCUGAAGUAGGUCCCAAGGGUAUGGCUGUUCGCCAUUUAAAGUGGUACGCGAGCUGGGUUUAGAACGUCGUGAGACAGUUCGGUCCCUAUCUGCCGUGGGCGCUGGAGAACUGAGGGGGGCUGCUCCUAGUACGAGAGGACCGGAGUGGACGCAUCACUGGUGUUCGGGUUGUCAUGCCAAUGGCACUGCCCGGUAGCUAAAUGCGGAAGAGAUAAGUGCUGAAAGCAUCUAAGCACGAAACUUGCCCCGAG
RNAcentral lists this ribosomal RNA (2757 nucleotides) under Salmonella enterica subsp. enterica serovar Enteritidis. RNAcentral describes it as "partial 23S ribosomal RNA". It matches the Rfam family "Bacterial large subunit ribosomal RNA". The record is from RNAcentral. Lineage: Bacteria; Pseudomonadati; Pseudomonadota; Gammaproteobacteria; Enterobacterales; Enterobacteriaceae.